Molecule: long non-coding RNA, 1822 nt
Filed under: Mus caroli (Ryukyu mouse)
Lineage: Eukaryota; Metazoa; Chordata; Mammalia; Rodentia; Muridae
Description: predicted gene, 49291 (MGP_CAROLIEiJ_G0004958.1)
Source: RNAcentral
AGUGGAUCACCAAGCCCAGCAGGCGGCUCUCGGUGGAGACGGGAGAAGCGGCUGUCAUUCCCUGAGAGGAGAAAGACCACCCGUAUCUCGCCGCCCCGCCACCUUUCCCGCGAUGCCCAGGGUGCCCCGCCAAGGCUUCUCACCGGGUCAGUGUUGAGCGCGGUGAGUGGGGUCCGUGGCGGCGCGACAGGACAAGCCCCGGCCGGGUGGAGCGGUGGCGCGGGCGGUGGCGGCUGUCUCAGCAGAGCAGGGGUUUCUUUUUAAAAGUCUACACCUUUGUAAGACUUUACCAUGUUGAAGACAAAUGUCAAAGAGAUUUGAUAUGAAAUCUGAAUGUUGCAGUGUGUAUAUUACCAAUGGAUCCCAAAUAUCCCUCACCUGUGAGAGUUUACUGUCCGUGGCCAAGCGACUUUCACAAGAUGAACAUUCAGGAACAGUGCUUCACAGCCAAAAUACACGAGCUCUUCCAGAUUUUAGUCUAUGCUCUUCAAACAGUAGCAGCCACAGGAGUCUAAUAUGUUCCCUUUUCCAUCUGAAAAGGAAACUGAGUCUUUUUACUUACAACUACUGAUAUCAUAUAUUCUUGAUCUCUGUGUAUUUUUCUGCCUUGUCUUUAACAAUUAUUUCUUAUAAGCAUGAUUGGCCUCCAGGUUAAUUUCAGGGGGGGGGGGAAGCUUGUAGUGGCAUUGAGUGAUAUUUUCUGCAUUAACACUAAAGUUUAAAUGUGUGUGUGUGUCUAUGUUUGAGAACAUGUGUGUGCAUGUGUGUGCAUACAUGUGUAUGUGUGUGUUUGCACAUGAAGGCCAGAAGACUAUCUCCCUUGUAAUUUUUCAAACCACAAUGCACUUCUUUGGAGACGGGCUCUCUCAUUGCCUUGAAGCCUCCCAAUUAGGAUAAGCUGGCUGGCCAGCAAGUCCCAUGGAUCCCGGUCUCUUCCUCCCAGUACUGGAAUUCCAAGCACACACCAACAUGCCUGGCAUUUUUACAUGGGUGCUGGGGAUUGAAUUUAGCUCAUCAUGCUUGUAAGAUGGACAUGUUAUCAAGUCAUCUAGCUCCAAGCCCAGAAUAUUAGUUGUUUAUUUGUUUUAAAUGCUAAGACAAACCCCAUGGAAUUAGAGAUCCCUACCAAAAACUUGCUGCCUAAACAGAUUAAGUAAACAAUACUUUGCAGCUUUUAUCAUUAGUCCAAGAAAGCAUUCUUUUUCUCCCUCUUGACUUUUCCCUUGUUAAUUCAAUGAUUAUGUAUGGAGCACUGUUUAAAACUAGGGUUUGUGUUCUGGCUUCUGAGCUUGUGAGAAUGCCUCAAUUCCUGAAUGAAGAAGUUUUGGGGUUCAGGUGUCCUGAGCCCUUUCAGCACCCUUAAGACUUUGAAGGAGAUGUUUUCCUGUCUAGGCCAUGAUUUUCUUUUUCUUUCUUUCUUUUUUUUUUUUUUCGUUUUUCUUCCCUCCUUCCUUUGCUCCCCCCUUACACUCCUCUUUUUUAAGAGAAACUUUUUCAAUUUACAGAGACGUUAGAAAGGUAAGAGAUUCCAUACACUCUAUACCUACUUGGCCCUGAUUGCCAACAUCAUUCUUUAGUGGUAUAUGUAAUUAGCAUCAAUGGGUUAACAUUAUUAGGAACUGAAGUCUCUGCCUCAGUGAGACUCCCUUAGCUUCCCCCUAAUGUCCUUGCUCUGUCCCAGAGUCCCAUCCAGAAGCCCACAUUACAUUUAGUCUUCAUCUCUCCUUAAUAUUCCUCUUACCUUAUGCGCUUCUCCACAUUUCCCUUGGCAGUAUGAAAGAGUUUGGUUCUCCCUGAAAAAUAAACAGAAAUAAAGAACUUG